GACAGAGGGUGCAAACGUUGUUCGGAAUUACUGGGCGUAAAGCGUGUGUAGGCGGUCUCAUAAGUCGGAUGUGAAAGCCCCGGGCUCAACCCGGGAAGUGCAUUCGAAACUGCGAGGCUAGAGUAUCGGAGAGGUUGGUGGAAUUCUCGGUGUAGGGGUGAAAUUCGUAGAUAUCGAGAGGAACACCGGUGGCGAAGGCGGCCAACUGGACGAAUACUGACGCUGAGACACGAAAGCGUGGGGAGCAAACAGG
Molecule: ribosomal RNA, 253 nt
Filed under: uncultured Byssovorax sp.
Lineage: Bacteria; Pseudomonadati; Myxococcota; Polyangiales; Polyangiaceae
Description: partial 16S ribosomal RNA
Rfam family: Bacterial small subunit ribosomal RNA
Source: RNAcentral